RNAcentral lists this ribosomal RNA (378 nucleotides) under uncultured bacterium. RNAcentral describes it as "partial 16S ribosomal RNA". It matches the Rfam family "Bacterial small subunit ribosomal RNA", at positions 338 to 708 of the family's 1533-position model. The record is from RNAcentral.
CCUACGGGGGGCUGCAGUGGGGAAUAUUGCGCAAUGGGCGAAAGCCUGACGCAGCGACGCCGCGUGAGGGAUGAAGGUCUUCGGAUCGUAAACCUCUGUUAGUAGGGAAGAACGGUCACUGUGCUAAUCAGCAGUGAAUUGACGGUACCUGCAAAGGAAGCACCGGCUAACUCCGGGCCAGCAGCCGCGGGAAUACGGAGGGUGCGAGCGUUAAUCGGAAUUACUGGGCGUAAAGGGCUCGUAGGCGGGAUGGCAAGUCAAGGGUGAAAUCCCCGCGCUCAACGUGGGAACUGCAUUUGAAACUGGCAAACUAGAGUAUGUGAGAGGUAGGUGGAAUGCCUGGUGUAGGGGUGAAAUCCGUAGAUAUCAAGAGGAACA